Molecule: transfer RNA, 72 nt
Organism: Myotis lucifugus (little brown bat)
Lineage: Eukaryota; Metazoa; Chordata; Mammalia; Chiroptera; Vespertilionidae
Rfam family: tRNA
About the family: Transfer RNA (tRNA) molecules are approximately 80 nucleotides in length. Their secondary structure includes four short double-helical elements and three loops (D, anti-codon, and T loops). Further hydrogen bonds mediate the characteristic L-shaped molecular structure. tRNAs have two regions of fundamental functional importance: the anti-codon, which is responsible for specific mRNA codon recognition, and the 3' end, to which the tRNAs corresponding amino acid is attached (by aminoacyl-tRNA synthetases). tRNAs cope with the degeneracy of the genetic code in two manners: having more than one tRNA (with a specific anti-codon) for a particular amino acid; and 'wobble' base-pairing, i.e. permitting non-standard base-pairing at the 3rd anti-codon position.
Source: Rfam
GCCAAGAUGGCUCAGUGGUUGAGCAUUGACCUAUGAAACAGAAGGUCACAGGUUCGAUUCCUGGUCCGGGCA